GCGCCAGUAGCUCAAUUGGCAGAGCAACUGACUCUUAAUCAGUAGGUUCGGGGUUCGAUUCCCUGCUGGCGCA
Molecule: transfer RNA, 73 nt
Filed under: Candidatus Eiseniibacteriota bacterium
Lineage: Bacteria; Candidatus Eiseniibacteriota
Description: tRNA-Lys
Rfam family: tRNA
About the family: Transfer RNA (tRNA) molecules are approximately 80 nucleotides in length. Their secondary structure includes four short double-helical elements and three loops (D, anti-codon, and T loops).
Source: RNAcentral